UACAGAGGGGGAGAGCGUUAAUCGGAAUUACUGGGCGUAAAGCGCGCGUAGGCGGUUUUGCAAGUCGGAUGUGAAAUCCCCAGGCUUAACCUGGGAACUGCAUUCGAGACUGCAUUGCUAGAGUAUGGGAGAGGUAAGUGGAAUUUCCGUUGUAGCGGUGAAAUGCGUAGAUAUCGGAAGGAACAUCAGUUGCGAAAGCUUCUUCCUGGACCAAUACUGACGCUCAUGUGCUAAAGCGUGGGGAGCAAACAGG
Molecule: ribosomal RNA, 253 nt
Filed under: uncultured bacterium
Lineage: Bacteria
Description: partial 16S ribosomal RNA
Rfam family: Bacterial small subunit ribosomal RNA
Source: RNAcentral